RNAcentral lists this ribosomal RNA (119 nucleotides) under Beta vulgaris subsp. vulgaris (sugar beet). Lineage: Eukaryota; Viridiplantae; Streptophyta; Magnoliopsida; Caryophyllales; Amaranthaceae. The record is from RNAcentral.
GGGUGCGAUCAUACCAACACUAAUGCAUCGGAUCCCAAUAGAACUCCGCAAUUAAGCAUGUUCGGACAAGAGUAGUAGUAGGAUGCCUGACCUCCUACGAAGUCCUCGUGUUGCACCCC